UACGAAGGGGGCAAGCGUUGUUCGGAAUUACUGGGCGUAAAGGGCGCGUAGGCGGCUUGGUCAGUCCCGUGUGAAAUCCCUCGGCUCAACUGAGGAACUGCACGGGAAACUGCCUGGCUUGAGUUCGGGAGAGGGAAGCGGAAUUCCGGGUGUAGCGGUGAAAUGCGUAGAUAUCCGGAGGAACACCGGUGGCGAAGGCGGCUUCCUGGACCGACACUGACGCUGAGGCGCGAAAGCUAGGGGAGCAAACGGG
RNAcentral lists this ribosomal RNA (253 nucleotides) under uncultured bacterium. RNAcentral's name for it is "partial 16S ribosomal RNA". It matches the Rfam family "Bacterial small subunit ribosomal RNA", at positions 524 to 776 of the family's 1533-position model. The record is from RNAcentral.